Molecule: ribosomal RNA, 446 nt
Filed under: uncultured bacterium
Lineage: Bacteria
Description: partial 16S ribosomal RNA
Rfam family: Bacterial small subunit ribosomal RNA
Source: RNAcentral
CCUACGGGUGGCAGCAGUCGAGAAUCAUUCACAAUGGGGGAAACCCUGAUGGUGCGACGCCGCGUGGGGGAAUGAAGGUCUUCGGAUUGUAAACCCCUGUCAUGUGGGAGCAAAUUAAAAAGAUAGUACCACAAGAGGAAGAGACGGCUAACUCUGUGCCAGCAGCCGCGGUAAUACAGAGGUCUCAAGCGUUGUUCGGAAUCACUGGGCGUAAGGCGUGCGUAGGCUGUUUCGUAAGUCGUGUGUGAAAGGCGCGGGCUCAACCCGCGGACGGCACAUGAUACUGCGAGACUAGAGUAAUGGAGGGGGAACCGGAAUUCUCGGUGUAGCAGUGAAAUGCGUAGAUAUCGAGAGGAACACUCGUGGCGAAGGCGGGUUCCUGGACAUUAACUGACGCUGAGGCACGAAGGCCAGGGGAGCGAAAGGGAUGAGAUACCCGUGUAGUC